AACGAACGCUGGCGGCAUGCCUAACACAUGCAAGUCGAACGAGACUUUCCGGUCUAGUGGCGCACGGGUGCGUAACGCGUGGGAACCUGCCCUUAGGUUCGGAAUAACUUCCCGAAAGGGGUGCUAAUACCGGAUAAUGUCUUCGGACCAAAGAUUUAUCGCCUUUGGAUGUGCCCGCGUUGGAUUAGCUAGUUGGUACGGUAAAAGCCUACCAAGGCGACGAUCCAUAGCUGGUCUGUGAGGAUGAUCAGUCACACUGGGACUGAGACACGGCCCAGACUCCUACGGGAGGCAGCAGUGGGGGAUAGUGGACAGUGGGCGAAAGCCUGAUGCAGCAAUGCCGCGUGAAUGAUGAAGGCCUUAGGGUUGUAGAGCGCUAGUAACCGGGAUGAUAAUGACAGUACCGGGAGAGUAAGCUCCGGCUAACUCCGUG
This 433-nucleotide ribosomal RNA is filed under the name uncultured bacterium. RNAcentral's name for it is "partial 16S ribosomal RNA". It matches the Rfam family "Bacterial small subunit ribosomal RNA", at positions 29 to 507 of the family's 1533-position model. The record is from RNAcentral.